RNAcentral lists this long non-coding RNA (364 nucleotides) under Brassica napus (rape). RNAcentral describes it as "long non-coding RNA (BNAP_LNC010580)". Lineage: Eukaryota; Viridiplantae; Streptophyta; Magnoliopsida; Brassicales; Brassicaceae. The record is from RNAcentral.
UUUUCGUAUAUGUAAGAUUAGGUUUUCUAUCAAUUUUGGGCAGGAAUCGGCAUAUCGGAGGAUCCAGGUUUUAAUUUUUAUUUUUUUAACAUCUGAUAAAUUAUGCUAUUACAACGAUGAGAAUAUUACAAAGACGAUUUUACAGCCGACAAUUCUACCACCAUAUGAGAAUACACGUCUGACUGCACUACUCCGAACCGUCCUAUGAGAUCUAUGUUCGAUGGUCUGCUCUGCACCAAGCUGAAGAUCUCUUGUAAAUUGUUUCUCCAUAAUCUGCAUAAUUUGGUAUUUUCUGGGGUUUGAACCCCAGACUUCUGGGUGUAGAAGCAUUAAUGAACCUUUAGUCAAACCAGUGGACCAAGGG